RNAcentral lists this transfer RNA (67 nucleotides) under Hypsathalia przewalskyi. RNAcentral describes it as "tRNA-Val". Lineage: Eukaryota; Metazoa; Arthropoda; Insecta; Hymenoptera; Athaliidae. The record is from RNAcentral.
CAAAUUAUUCAUAGUGAUAUUAUUUUUUACAAAAUUAUUUAGUGUUGUGCAAUUCAACUUAAUUUGA